This 437-nucleotide ribosomal RNA is filed under the name uncultured bacterium. RNAcentral describes it as "partial 16S ribosomal RNA". It matches the Rfam family "Bacterial small subunit ribosomal RNA", at positions 29 to 507 of the family's 1533-position model. The record is from RNAcentral.
AGCGAACGCUGGCGGCAGGCUUAACACAUGCAAGUCGAGCGGGCAUCCGUGGGGUUUCAGCGGCAGACGGGUGAGGAACGCGUGGGAACGUGCCCUGCGUUUCGGAAUAACUCAGGGAAACUUGAGCUAAUACCGGAUACGUGCGAGAGCAGAAAGGUUUGUCUGCCGAAGGAUCGGCCCGCGUCUGAUUAGCUAGUUGGUGAGGUUAUGGCUCACCAAGGCGACGAUCAGUAGCUGGUGUGAGAGGAUGAUCAGCCACACUGGGACUGAGACACGGCCCAGACUCUUCCGGGAGGCAGCAGUGGGGAAUAUUGGACCAUGGCGGCAAUCAUGAUCCAGCCAUGCCGCGUGAGUGAUGACGGCAUUAGGGUUGUAAAGCUCUUUUCUCCGGGACGAUAAUGACGGUACCGGAGGAAUAAGCCCCGGCUAACUUCGUG